This 74-nucleotide microRNA precursor is filed under the name Marmota monax (woodchuck). Lineage: Eukaryota; Metazoa; Chordata; Mammalia; Rodentia; Sciuridae. The record is from RNAcentral.
UGUGUGUGUGUGUGUGUGCCCAUGUGUGUGUAUACACACACGCACACACACGUGUGUACACACACACACACACA